Long non-coding RNA from Oryctolagus cuniculus (rabbit), 66 nucleotides. It matches the Rfam family "ZNRD1 antisense RNA 1 conserved region 1". The record is from Rfam. NCBI's taxonomy places the organism in Eukaryota, Metazoa, Chordata, Mammalia, Lagomorpha, Leporidae.
UUCAGCUCUUCUUGUAUCUUCAGUGUCUGGCCGAUCUCUUCAUUUACAGGGGCCUGGAAAUACGUG